UAAUCAGGGGGAUAGCCCGGAGAAAUCCGGAUUAACACCGCAUGAAAUCACAGAACGGCAUCGUUCAAUGAUCAAACAUUUAUGGGAUGGAGAUGGGCAUGCGUGUCAUUAGUUAGUUGGCGGGGUAACGGCCCACCAAGACCGCGAUGACUAGGGGAUCUGAGAGGAUGACCCCCCACACUGGUACUGAGACACGGACCAGACUCCUACGGGAGGCAGCAGUAAGGAAUAUUGGUCAAUGGGCGAGAGCCUGAACCAGCCAUGCCGCGUGCAGGAAGACGGCCCUCUGGGUUGUAAACUGCUUUUACUCGGGAAUAAACCUAUCCACGUGUGGAUAGCUGAAUGUACCGAGGGAAUAAGGAUCGGCUAACUCCGUGCCAGCAGCCGCGGUAAUACGGAGGAUCCAAGCGUUAUCCGGAUUUAUUGGGUUUAAAGGGUGCGUAGGCGGCCUGUUAAGUCAGGGGUGAAAGA
Molecule: ribosomal RNA, 471 nt
Filed under: Pedobacter sp.
Lineage: Bacteria; Pseudomonadati; Bacteroidota; Sphingobacteriia; Sphingobacteriales; Sphingobacteriaceae
Description: bacterial SSU rRNA
Rfam family: Bacterial small subunit ribosomal RNA
Source: RNAcentral